GAUGAACGCUGGCGGCGUGCCUAAUACAUGCAAGUCGAGCGAACAGACAAGGAGCUUGCUCCUUUGACGUUAGCGGCGGACGGGUGAGUAACACGUGGAUAACCUACCUAUAAGACUGGGAUAACUUCGGGAAACCGGAGCUAAUACCGGAUAACAUAUUGAACCGCAUGGUUCAAUAGUGAAAGGCGGCUUUGCUGUCACUUAUAGAUGGAUCCGCGCCGUAUUAGCUAGUUGGUAAGGUAACGGCUUACCAAGGCAACGAUACGUAGCCGACCUGAGAGGGUGAUCGGCCACACUGGAACUGAGACACGGUCCAGACUCCUACGGGAGGCAGCAGUAGGGAAUCUUCCGCAAUGGGCGAAAGCCUGACGGAGCAACGCCGCGUGAGUGAUGAAGGUCUUCGGAUCGUAAAACUCUGUUAUCAGGGAAGAACAAAUGUGUAAGUAACUGUGCACAUCUUGACGGUACCUGAUCAGAAAGCCACGGCUAACUACGUG
Molecule: ribosomal RNA, 497 nt
Filed under: uncultured bacterium
Lineage: Bacteria
Description: partial 16S ribosomal RNA
Rfam family: Bacterial small subunit ribosomal RNA
Source: RNAcentral